RNAcentral lists this ribosomal RNA (495 nucleotides) under uncultured bacterium. RNAcentral's name for it is "partial 16S ribosomal RNA". It matches the Rfam family "Bacterial small subunit ribosomal RNA", at positions 28 to 507 of the family's 1533-position model. The record is from RNAcentral.
GACGAACGCUGGCGGCGUGCCUAAUACAUGCAAGUAGAACGCUGAAGGAGGAGCUUGCUUCUCUGGAUGAGUUGCGAACGGGUGAGUAACGCGUAGGUAACCUGCCUGGUAGCGGGGGAUAACUAUUGGAAACGAUAGCUAAUACCGCAUAAUAGCAGUUGUUGCAUGAUAACUGUUUGAAAGGUGCAAUUGCACCACUACCAGAUGGACCUGCGUUGUAUUAGCUAGUUGGUGGGGUAACGGCUCACCAAGGCGACGAUACAUAGCCGACCUGAGAGGGUGAUCGGCCACACUGGGACUGAGACACGGCCCAGACUCCUACGGGAGGCAGCAGUAGGGAAUCUUCGGCAAUGGACGGAAGUCUGACCGAGCAACGCCGCGUGAGUGAAGAAGGGUUUCGGAUCGUAAAGCUCGGUUGUAAGAGAAGAACGAGUGUGAGAGUGGAAAGUUCACACUGUGACGGUAUCUUACCAGAAAGGGACGGCUAACUACGUG